UCCCACUCCCACUUUGGCCUUAGAGAGUUUUCAGCUAAAAAACUUCCACACUUCCCCUCUCUCUCAUUUCAGUUCCCUCUCUGCGAUUCUCUGAGUUGCAACCCCUAACCCUCUCUUUUCUUCGAUUUCCAAUUUUCAAACUUUAAGAGGUGUGUAAUUCUCCUUUCUCCAGUAUCCCGACUUGAGAUUAGGGUUCUUCAUACUGAAAAAAAAAAAAAAAAAAGAGGUUCUUCGAUUUGCUAGUUCAGGGUAUUGGGAAGAAGAGAGGCUUUGAAGCCGAUCUCAGCGACUUUCGCAACAACCAGCGGAGGCCGCCGUUCGCGAACACAGAGGAGAGAGAGAAGCGGAGGCUGGUUACGACUAAAGAGAAGGAGGUGUGAGGAGGACUAUGUUGUGAUAGAGGGGUGUGAGGUGAGGGUGAGGGAGAAUACUGGGUUAUUGAGCGUUUCCGUAAUUGUUUAUUGUGAUGACCUGUACUAAGCAAACUACUUGUAAGUCAACUUGAGGAAAGGCUUUAAGGAAGCAGCUCGCCACCAAGAGAGUCAGAGCCAAGUAGCUGCACAUUGAUAUUAUAAUGCAGCAGCGAACAAACGGGAUUAAAUUUGGAACUAUGGAAGUAGGGAAAGAUCAGACAUGUAGGCCUUGGGAUUCAUAAAUUCUUUCUAUUGAUAGACCAAAACAAUCAGGUUAAAUUUCUUUGAUUUUAAUUUAUGCUUUUGUCCAAGGACAAAAACAUGUUUUCUCACAACAAAUAUAUGGUAUCAACAGCAUGGGCAUUUACUUCCCUUAAUCUUCAAGCAUGCAUAUAAUUAACUUGCUCAAUUAUAGGUGGAGAAGAAGGAGAAGGAUAUAUAAGUUGAGUUUUGACAGUGUUGAUCUAAAUGCAAUGCUUAUUAUCUAUCAAUAUUCCUUUUGCUUUCUUCUUGAUUUAGUAUUAUAUUCUUCUUAACAUAGAAGAACAUCUAAUCCUUUUUCUAUAAUCAUCCAAAAUAAAAGAACAAAAUAAUUGUCCUGAUCAGGAAGUUGCCAUUCUAGAGGCUUAUUCGUGAAAUUUUCCAGGACUUCAAGGUAUAUAUACAUACAAUCUAUUGAUGACUCUUCAACUCAAUACAAACAUAAGCCAAAGAGGGCUCAUACAAUGUAUGAAACUAAUUGGAUUUCCUGUCAUUAAUUAUAUUAUAAAUGACACAUAAUGAUAAUGUUUAUGUUUCUUAUAAAUUUUGUUUUUGUAUUUGCAGAUUUUAAUCGACUCAAUGUCGAUAUUGGACGGUUGAAAUGUUUAUUGGACU
This is a long non-coding RNA of Rosa rugosa (rugosa rose), 1289 nucleotides long. RefSeq lists it as uncharacterized. The record is from RefSeq and is a predicted model, not a curated record. The transcript has 3 exons. Lineage: Eukaryota; Viridiplantae; Streptophyta; Magnoliopsida; Rosales; Rosaceae.